This is a long non-coding RNA of Cervus elaphus (red deer), 275 nucleotides long. RefSeq lists it as uncharacterized. The record is from RefSeq and is a predicted model, not a curated record. NCBI's taxonomy places the organism in Eukaryota, Metazoa, Chordata, Mammalia, Artiodactyla, Cervidae. The transcript has 3 exons.
CCAAGUUUGAGAUUCAGCUUUCGUUGCAGCUUUCCUCACCUUCUUUCCCUGGAUGCAUGGUGAGCUGGGGAUGCUGUGCUUCUCUGCAGGAGUAUCUUCCAAAAGUCAAGAUUUGAGAAAAUAAGAGAGCUGCCCAGGUCAGAGUUUGGUAACAAAUCUCCUGUUGAAUGUUCAGAAGAGGCUCUAGGUUGAAUUCAUCCAGACAUCAGGUAUGAGGCAAGAUUUAGAGAAGUGACACUGCUGCAGUUUUAGGCUUAAAUCAACCACAAAGAGCA